Molecule: non-coding RNA, 196 nt
Organism: Diplonema papillatum
Lineage: Eukaryota; Euglenozoa; Diplonemea; Diplonemida; Diplonemidae
Source: the annotation of a GenBank genome assembly
AUACCUUCUCGGCCUUUUGGCUAAGAUCAAGUGUAGUAUCUGUUCUUAUCAGCUUAAUAUCUGAUACAGCACACUUGUGUGCUGAGAUAUAUAUGUGAAUUUUUCACGGGGGUGGCGGGUAGCUCUGAGGCAACUCAGAGUCCGCCACACGUGUUGCCCUGGAGCUGCACUACUCCAGUGACGUGGCACACCCAUC